RNAcentral lists this ribosomal RNA (257 nucleotides) under uncultured Leptotrichia sp. RNAcentral describes it as "partial 16S ribosomal RNA". It matches the Rfam family "Bacterial small subunit ribosomal RNA", at positions 97 to 355 of the family's 1533-position model. Lineage: Bacteria; Fusobacteriati; Fusobacteriota; Fusobacteriia; Fusobacteriales; Leptotrichiaceae. The record is from RNAcentral.
GGCGGACGGGUGAGUAACGCGUAAGAACUUGCCCUUUAGACUGGGAUAACAGAGGGAAACUUCUGAUAAUACUGGAUAAGUUAGUAUAUCGCAUGAUAUGCAAAUGAAAGCUACGGCACUAAAGGAGAGCUUUGCGUUCUAUUAGCUAGUUGGUAAGGUAAGAGCUUACCAAGGCGAUGAUAGGUAGCCGGCCUGAGAGGGUGGACGGCCACAAGGGGACUGAGAUACGGCCCUUACUCCUACGGGAGGCAGCAGCC